ACGGGAGGCAGCAGUGAGGAAUAUUGGUCAAUGGGAGAGAUCCUGAACCAGCCAAGCCGCGUGAGGGAAGACGGCCCUAUGGGUUGUAAACCUCUUUUGUCGGAGAACAAAACCCGGGACGUGUCCCGGACUGCGUGUAUCCGAAGAAAAAGCAUCGGCUAACUCCGUGCCAGCAGCCGCGGUAAUACGGAGGAUGCGAGCGUUAUCCGGAUUUAUUGGGUUUAAAGGGUGCGUAGGCGGUCUGUUAAGUCAGCGGUAAAAUUGCGGGGCUCAACCCCGUCGAGCCGUUGAAACUGGCAGACUUGAGUUGGCGAGAAGUACGCGGAAUGCGCGGUGUAGCGGUGAAAUGCAUAGAUAUCGCGCAGAACUCCGAUUGCGAAGGCAGCGUACCGGCGCCAGACUGACGCUGAGGCACGAAAGCGUGGGGAUCGAACAGGAUUAGAUACCCUGGUAGUCCACGCAGUAA
This 466-nucleotide ribosomal RNA is filed under the name uncultured bacterium. RNAcentral's name for it is "bacterial SSU rRNA". It matches the Rfam family "Bacterial small subunit ribosomal RNA", at positions 341 to 805 of the family's 1533-position model. The record is from RNAcentral.